CCUACGGGUGGCAGCAGCUAAGAAUAUUGCACAAUGGACGAAAGUCUGAUGCAGCGACACCGCGUGAGGGAUGAAGGUUUUAGGAUUGUAAACCUCUUUUAUUAGGGAAUAGCAAGGAAGGUACCUAAUGAAUAAGCUACGGCUAACUACGUGCCAGCAGCCGCGGUAAUACGUAGGUAGCGAACGUUGCCCGGAAUCAUUGGGCGUAAAGGGUCCGUAGGUGGCAUAAAAAGUCUUAUGUGAAAUCUCUUGGCUCAACCAAGAAACGCCAUAAGAAACUUUUAUGCUAGAGAUCAUCAGAGGGAGGUAGAAUUCCAGGUGUAGUGGUGAAAUGCGUAGAUAUCUGGAGGAAUACCAAUGGCGAAAGCAGCCUCCUGGGGUGGCUCUGACACUGAGGGACGAAAGCGUGGGUAGCAAACCGGAUUAGAUACCCUGGUAGUC
Molecule: ribosomal RNA, 441 nt
Filed under: Pectobacterium carotovorum
Lineage: Bacteria; Pseudomonadati; Pseudomonadota; Gammaproteobacteria; Enterobacterales; Pectobacteriaceae
Also listed under: 1 other name
Description: bacterial SSU rRNA
Rfam family: Bacterial small subunit ribosomal RNA
Source: RNAcentral